This 253-nucleotide ribosomal RNA is filed under the name uncultured bacterium. Its description in RNAcentral is "partial 16S ribosomal RNA". It matches the Rfam family "Bacterial small subunit ribosomal RNA", at positions 524 to 776 of the family's 1533-position model. The record is from RNAcentral.
UACAGAGGUGGCAAGCGUUGUUCGGAAUUACUGGGCGUAAAGGGCGCGUAGGCGGUCUUCUAAGUCUUGUGUGAAAUCCCUCGGCUCAACUGAGGAACUGCACGGGAUACUGGAAGACUUGAGUUCGGGAGAGGGAAGCGGAAUUCCGGGUGUAGCGGUGAAAUGCGUGGAUAUCUGGAGGAACACCGGUGGCGAAGGCGGCAUCCUGGACCAAUAUUGACGCUGAGGAGCGAAAGCCAGGGGAGCAAACGGG